Molecule: long non-coding RNA, 505 nt
Organism: Homo sapiens (human)
Lineage: Eukaryota; Metazoa; Chordata; Mammalia; Primates; Hominidae
Source: Ensembl
CACUCAAGUGGGACAGUAAGAUUUUCUCUGAGGCUGGCACUGGUGCCUGCCUCUGCUCCGGGGAAUCCAGACGUGGCACCCGGAGUUGGGCCUCAUCCAUCCUCAGCUUUCAUUUGUGACCAAGCCUGACUCAGAAUGGGCUGGCAGUUUUCCUGAGUACAUGGGAGUUAGGGCAGAGAACAUGAUGUGGUGCUGGUAGUCAACGCAAGCUGGCACGGCCUCAGCCAGAAGACUGGAGCUAGGAGCAAGCAAAGGAACAUUGCCCUGAGACAGACAUCCAUGAAGAAGCCUGGGAUGAAAGACCACAUGGAGAGAAAGGCCCACCAUCAUUCUGCACCAACUACCAACGGCGUAAGGGAGGUUGACUUGGAUCUCCCACCCCAGUUGACUCUCCAGCUGAAAGCAACUGCCUGAGCCCAAACAAAACCUGCUGAGGAACCUCCCUGCUAGCAAAUGGAAUCAGGAGAAAUAAUAAAUAGUUCUGUUGUUUUAAGUCACCAACUCA